RNAcentral lists this ribosomal RNA (395 nucleotides) under uncultured bacterium. RNAcentral describes it as "partial 16S ribosomal RNA". It matches the Rfam family "Bacterial small subunit ribosomal RNA", at positions 338 to 730 of the family's 1533-position model. The record is from RNAcentral.
CCUACGGGAGGCAGCAGUGAGGAAUAUUGGUCAAUGGCCGUAAGGCUGAACCAGCCAAGCCGCGUGAAGGACGAAGGUUCCAAGCAUUGUAAACUUCUUUUGUCAGGGGACAAAAUCAGUCUCGUGUCCCUGACCGAGUGUACUUUAAGAAAAAGCAUCGGCUAACUCCGUGCCAGCAGCCGCGGUAAUACGGAGGAUUCGAGCGUUAUCCGGAUUUAUUGGGUUUAAAGGGUGCGUAGGCGGACUUUUAAGUUAGGGGUGAAAGGCCGGGGCUCAACCCCCGACGAGCCGUUGAAACUGUCUGGCUUGAGAUGUCGAGAGGUAUGCGGAAUGCGUAGUGUAGCGGUGAAAUGCUUAGAGAUCGCGCAGAACUCCGAUUGCGAAGGCAGCAUACC